AUCCUGAAUGAUGCAUGGUUUUAUGAUGACAUUUCUCAAUCUUUGUGUUUUCUUCUUUUUCAAUUUCCAUCUUUUCAGUCAAAGGAAAUCAUCAAGUGACCUUGAAAUCUGCACUGGCAUUUUCCUGGCAGAGAAAGAAGCUCUCUUCUCAUUUGCAAACAUGAAUAACAAUUUGAUCAUUCUUAAAACUUCUAAAAGGUUAAUUAUGCUCUCUCCAGUGAGCAGACUUCAGAAGGCUCAGUCAUGUAACGACUACGUUCGUCAUUAAUGCAAAGCAACGUGACAGGAAAAUUGGAAGAAUAUGGGAAAACCUCAAAUACUUCAAUGAGGUAAGUGCUGCAAGGCCUCAUUUGCCAGAAGCACCUGGGUCAUUGGUGUUGUAGGGACAGCUCAUUUGUCAGUGAUGUGGUUUUUGGCCCUAUCAGGAAAACAAAACCAAAGGCUGCACGGUCAAAUCAGUACAGUCAACUGAGGAAGGUGGAUUCCAUCAACUUGGGAGCAAAUGUGGGGACUGAAUUGGCAGAAAUGUCCAGAUAUUUCAUGGGAGACUCAACUGGACAGCUCGUGCCGUAAGUGAAGCUGCACUUCUCAAGAGAAAGCUUGACCUCUACCAGGUAUUUUAAACAUCAAAGGGCAAUGAUGCAUAUGGGGGACAUGAGAAGGCUAUUUUUGCGAGGAGAAUAAUAUUUUUUGAUGACUGACGCAUCUAAUAAUUCUUCCCAUUACAGAUGAACUGGUGUUGCACUGGAGUUUUCAAUUGGCUGGAUCUGGGCAGGAAGACCUCCACAGCGUACAUCCAGAAGCAGCGGUCUAGUUCCUGCACUCUACUGCUGGCUGCAGUGCCCUUGUCACCAGUGUUCCUCAGGUCUUCCAUUUAGCUGUUUGAUUGGCAGGUAGGUUGAACUGUCCUAUCUAGGCGCUCCUAGGACGCUCCUCCAGUAUUAAAUGUAGUUGAAUGGUUUUUUUUUUUUUGCAAAGAAGUUUAGAAAAGCCCCCACCACCCUUGAAGUGAUGUAACCAUACAUUCCUCGGCUUGUGAAAUCAGCAUUUAAUCUGCUUUUCCCCAGAAGGUGGGGCAGAAUUUGGAAAUAAGAGCUUAUAUUCAAAGUUUGCUGUAACAGGAGACGCAGUGCAUUCGCAAAGCCCUGUGCUUAUACACACCCACCAGGUGCAAACACAGACUUGUAUGAGCACGUUUCGACCGUUUACCAAUAUUUGCCAAUUCAGUGUUCUUAACUAUGUGCCAAUGCAAAAUCACCUUUUAUGCUGAAUUUUAAAAUGCUGAUGUACACAUUACAAAUGUUUUUAAUUUGCAUACCAUGUUUUGAAUGCAAAGUAGGAAUGGAUGAACCCCAAGAAUAUUUGUGUGUUCAUAUAGCAGAAUGAUCGUUCACUCAACUCUUCUGCCAGCGACCAACUAUUUUUUCUGACGAUGGUUUAUGUACUACUCCAUGUUUCUCAUAAAUAACUAGAUAUGUGGAAUGUAUUAAGGAUGUAAUCAGCUUGGUAUUUGGAUUACAUUUCUCUUCAGCUCCCAUUACAAUCAGUGUAAAGGUUCCCUCUGAUUUCAACGAGAGUUAGAUCAGACCUGGGGCACUAUUUUUUUAAGGCCACAUUAAGUGCUGCUGUUCAUUGACAUUGUUUCCCAGACACCAGCAAUUGUUCACUGACCCAGAUGUGAACUUGUAUUUUUUUCUAUCUCUGUUUAUAGAGACCCAUUCUCAGUCACGCUUAUCUAGCCCCGUCACAGAGACCUGUUUAACUUGCUGAGAAGUUGUGAUGGAGCAAAUUAGAAAGCCUGCAGCAAACUGUUUAUAGCUGAGUCUGUCAGAACGAGUAUUAAAAAAAAAGGCAGAGAAAUAAUAUUUACAUAGAGUAGGGACCUCUAUUUUACUCUUCCUACUUCUGGGCCAUUACUCAGCUAUAGGAAAGGAGGUUAGUACUCAGAAGUUUUUAAAAAAAAAAAAAAGUCACUAGAUGCUGAAAUAGGUGGCCGUUCUCCUCAGCCUAGUACUUCCACCUGACAAGGCAAGAUGAUAAAUUUUGCAGAGCUCCAGGUUCGUUUCCAAAUUCCUGCCCACAUUUUUGAGCAACGUUCACUCUUGCAGGACUCAGAACCCAUUUCCCCUAGCAAAGGAAUCUAAAGCGUUGUGUGAAGCUGAUAAAAAAAGGCUGGUGAAAGGCAGAAAGGAAACAGAAACGAUCAAAAGAGGGGUAUUCCUAUCUGCAGAACACAGCCUGCUUCUGAUGUGAUGGUGAUGAUGAUAAUUUGUGAAUACGUUUUGCAGCACAGCAUUUUUAGCCACAUUUGGGUUCUAUAAAAAUUUUCUCUUAUUCACAUAAAUAUUGCUAAUGCACCACAGGAAAACUGCGUGAUGUUUCAGCCUUUCAGUGCUAGUUGUGUUUGCAACAAGGGUCGCAACCCUAAAAAAAAGUCAUACGUACAAUGACCUUAAAACUUGCUGACUUCAGUGGCGUUACUUUGCAUGUGUAAAUGAACGCGUUAUUUUUCUUCUCCAUUAUUCACUGUAUGCAUGUUCAGAAUAAUUAGAGACAAAUAUCCUAAAGCUCUCAGGCAAUGUUUGAGUUCAAACGCCAAAAAAUCUUUCCCGUUCCUUUUGCUCUCGUUGCAACUAUCUUUAGAUGAUCUAUGAGUUUUUUUUAAAUGAAUGUAAAGCUACAGAAAAGAAUGAGCUCGCUAGCAAAUAGGUAGUUUUUCAGUCUAAAAUCUGCACAAGAUGUAAACUUUACCAUGAAUAAAAGAACAAGUCAAAAAGCA
Molecule: long non-coding RNA, 2779 nt
Filed under: Struthio camelus australis
Lineage: Eukaryota; Metazoa; Chordata; Aves; Struthioniformes; Struthionidae
Description: lncRNA (ENSSCUG00000017080.1)
Source: RNAcentral